RNAcentral lists this ribosomal RNA (433 nucleotides) under uncultured bacterium. RNAcentral's name for it is "bacterial SSU rRNA". It matches the Rfam family "Bacterial small subunit ribosomal RNA", at positions 30 to 463 of the family's 1533-position model. The record is from RNAcentral.
AUUGAACGCUGGCGGCAGGCCUAACACAUGCAAGUCGAGCGGAUGAAGAGAGCUUGCUCCCUGAUUCAGCGGCGGACGGGUGAGUAAUGCCUAGGAAUCUGCCUGGUAGUGGGGGACAACGUCUCGAAAGGGACGCUAAUACCGCAUACGUCCUACGGGAGAAAGCAGGGGACCUUCGGGCCUUGCGCUAUCAGAUGAGCCUAGGUCGGAUUAGCUAGUUGGUGAGGUAAUGGCUCACCAAGGCGACGAUCCGUAACUGGUCUGAGAGGAUGAUCAGUCACACUGGAACUGAGACACGGUCCAGACUCCUACGGGAGGCAGCAGUGGGGAAUAUUGGACAAUGGGCGAAAGCCUGAUCCAGCCAUGCCGCGUGUGUGAAGAAGGUCUUCGGAUUGUAAAGCACUUUAAGUUGGGAGGAAGGGUUGUAGAUUAA